GUUCCUCGUCUCAGUCCUUGGGGCCACCACCCAACACCCAGGGCAGACCUCUAGGGUCUACACCACAAAGCCAGCCCUGUCUCAUGCCUCCCUCUCCUCCCGAUUGCAAGCCGUUGCAGCGGCCGUUUGGUUUAUACCUGGGACAUCACGACCCCCUGCUUCCCACCUUCUAAUGCUGCAUCCUCCUGCAUCAGGACGUUUAAACACAUCACAGGUAAACGGUCGCCAAGUACAAGCUUAUAAAAGUAAGAGAGUUCACCCCCUCCGGUCUCCUGUGGCACCGUCUGGCGUCGGUGACCGGCCAUCUCGCGAAGGGGUGCGUCUCGGCCUCCAGCCUGGCAGGGCUGCAGCGGGCUCUCGGGACGCAUGUCCGGCCGCCCCUCACCGCCCGCGCCCGUCCCUGAGUGUGCUGUCUACACUCGCCAUCUGUGCCUUCCACUCGCUACUCGCUUCGCCGGGUCUGCUCAGAAAGGCCCCCAGAGUCUCAGCAAGGGUGGCGUGGACUCCAAACGACUCUAGGACAAAGGGGACUGUGCCAGCCAAGGACGUCACCCAGCAGGCGGGGCCCGUGCGGAAGAUUCGGCCAUAAGGCAAGCAUAACGAGAGUGGCUUUUCUUUGUACGCCUGAGCGAUGUCGAUGCAUUGUCUUUUUAAGAUGUUUAUUUAUUUAUUUUGAGAGAGCGAGAGAGAGGAAGCAUCCCAAGCAGGCUCCGAGCUGUCAGCGCAGAGCCCGAUGCGGGGCUGGAACCCACGAACUGUGAGAUCACGACCGGAGCCGAAAUCCAGGGUCAGAUGCUCAACCCACUGAGCCACCCAGGCGCCCCUUUAGUGCAUUUUCAAUCACAUGAACUUGUCAUUUUUCGGCCAAUUUUAUUUUUAGUAGGGUUUUGGUGGGUUUUAUCUACAGUGAAGCACACAUUCGCUGUGGCCUCUCUGCUGUUAGGUUUCUGCCUCUUCCAGGGCCGAGCGGAUAGACAGGCUGCAGGCUUUGUGCUGGGGCAGUGGGGGAGGGAGGGGCAGGGGAGGGGGAGCCGGGAGGCUGGGCGACCGUGUCCGGAGCCGGCUGUAAGGAGGCCGACCACCCCUGCCGUCUCCCCUUCUCUGCCACGAAUCAGCACCUGCAGGGACCUGCCACGACCCACAGGAGGACCAGCCACGGACACCGAGAGGGAAAGGGGCAAGGUCAGGCCACUCCCGUGGCUGAGAGGGAGAUCCAGUCGGCCCGAAGCCUAUACAAAAAACCCGAUCCGUUUGAACCUCUCUCUACAACCAGAAGCCCCAGCAAAUUGGAUGAAUCAGUCAUCAACUAUUGAUCUAUUCAUAUCAUGCCCCCCCCCCAAGCCGGUACAAAUAUGA
Molecule: long non-coding RNA, 1356 nt
Filed under: Felis catus (domestic cat)
Lineage: Eukaryota; Metazoa; Chordata; Mammalia; Carnivora; Felidae
Description: lncRNA (ENSFCAG00000048099.1)
Source: RNAcentral